GAUGAACGCUAGCGGCAGGCUUAAUACAUGCAAGUCGUGGGGCAGCAUGAGUAGCAAUACUUGAUGGCGACCGGCAAACGGGUGAGGAACACGUACACAACCUUCCUUCAAGCGGGGAAUAGCCCAGAGAAAUUUGGAUUAAUACCCCAUAAUAUAUUUGAUAAGGCAUCUUAUUAAUAUUAAAGCUUCGGCACUUGAUGAUGGGUGUGCGGCUGAUUAGAUAGUUGGCGGGGUAACGGCCCACCAAGUCUACGAUCAGUAGCUGAUGUGAGAGCGAUGAUCAGCCACACGGGCACUGAGACACGGGCCCGACUCCUACGGGAGGCAGCAGUAAGGAAUAUGGACAAUGGACGAAAGUCUGAUCCAGCCAUGCCGCGUGAAGGAUUAAGGUCCUCUGGAUUGUAAACUUCUUUUAUAUGGGACGAAAAAGGGCAUUCUUGUUCACUUGACGGUACCAUAUGAAUAAGCACCGGCUAACUCCGUGCCAG
This 488-nucleotide ribosomal RNA is filed under the name uncultured bacterium. RNAcentral describes it as "bacterial SSU rRNA". It matches the Rfam family "Bacterial small subunit ribosomal RNA", at positions 28 to 511 of the family's 1533-position model. The record is from RNAcentral.